GUAAUAGCUCACUGGUCGAGUCGGCCUGCGCGGAAGAUGUAACGGGGCUAAACCAUGCACCGAAGCUGCGGCAGCGACGCUUAUGCGUUGUUGGGUAGGGGAGCGUUCUGUAAGCCUGUGAAGGUGUGCUGUGAGGCAUGCUGGAGGUAUCAGAAGUGCGAAUGCUGACAUAAGUAACGAUAAAGCGGGAGAAAAGCCCGCUCGCCGGA
Molecule: ribosomal RNA, 209 nt
Filed under: Escherichia coli
Lineage: Bacteria; Pseudomonadati; Pseudomonadota; Gammaproteobacteria; Enterobacterales; Enterobacteriaceae
Description: partial 23S ribosomal RNA
Rfam family: Bacterial large subunit ribosomal RNA
Source: RNAcentral